CUCGAGCGUUGCCUCUCCCUCUUUCUUUCACACGACCCUCAUAGAACUCCUCUCCUGGAUGACUAUCUAAAAUGCUUGAUCGUCGAAGCAGACAAUGUGGGCUCCAAGCAGAUACAAACCAUAUGCUGUUCCCUCUGUGGCAAAAUUGUGUGGCCACCUAGAGAACAACUCUUUAGAGAAGCUCCCGCCCCACAUUAAAGAAUGUGUGGGUUUUGUCUUCACCAAGAAAGACCUGGCUCUUGGACUGGGUUCUACUAAAGAAAAAGUCAUGUUAUAGCAACGCUUGGAUGACCAUCCAAAAUGCUUCGUCGGAUCAGACAAUGUGGGCUCCAAGCAGAUAGAUGCAGACCAUCCACUGUACUCUUCGUGGCAAAGCCGUGGUGCUGAUGGGUAAAAACAUCAUGAUGCGCAAGGCUGUGUGUCCACCUGGAGAUCAACUCUGCUUUAGAGAAGCUUCCGCCCCACAUUAAAGAAUGUGUGGGUUUUGUCUUCACCAAGAAAGACCUGGCUCUUGGACUGGGUUCUACUAAAGAAAAAGUCAUGUUAUAGCAACGCUUGGAUGACCAUCCAAAAUGCUUCGUCGGAUCAGACAAUGUGGGCUCCAAGCAGAUAGAUGCAGACCAUCCACUGUACUCUUCGUGGCAAAGCCGUGGUGCUGAUGGGUAAAAACAUCAUGAUGCGCAAGGCUUGUGUGUCCACCUGGAGAUCAACUCUGCUUUAGAGAAGCUCCCGCCCCACAUUAAAGAAUAUGUGGGUUUUGUCUUCAUCAAGAAAGACCUGGCUCUUGGACUGGGUUCUCCUAAAGAGAAAGUCAUGUUAUAGCAAUGCUUGGAUGACCAUCCAAAAUGCUUCGUCGGAGCAGACAAUGUGUGCUCCAAGCAGAUAGAUGCAGACCAUCCGCUGUGCUCUUCGUGGCAAAGCCGUGGUGCUGAUGGGUAAAAACAUCAUGAUGCGCAAGGCUGUGUGGCCACCUGGAGAUCAACUCUGCUUUGGAGAAGUGAGUUGUCCCACUUUUUGAAAAUCAGUUGCAGGACAGUUAUGGUACAGCUUGUGUGGUGCUGUAUUGUCGUUCCCCCUGCAAAAAGUAAACUGUUUCCAAGCUAUCCCUGUUUGUCCAAACCUCCUGACAGCCAGGGACGCAAGGUCUCAGACAUGUG
This is a long non-coding RNA of Syngnathus typhle (broad-nosed pipefish), 1157 nucleotides long. RefSeq lists it as uncharacterized. The record is from RefSeq and is a predicted model, not a curated record. Lineage: Eukaryota; Metazoa; Chordata; Actinopteri; Syngnathiformes; Syngnathidae. The transcript is spliced from 5 exons.